CAACGCAUAGCUCAACUAGAACAGCAUCUCCCUUACACUGAGAAGAUACCCGUGCAAACCGGGUUGCCUUGA
Molecule: transfer RNA, 72 nt
Filed under: Acanthopagrus latus (yellowfin seabream)
Lineage: Eukaryota; Metazoa; Chordata; Actinopteri; Spariformes; Sparidae
Description: tRNA-Val
Rfam family: tRNA
About the family: Transfer RNA (tRNA) molecules are approximately 80 nucleotides in length. Their secondary structure includes four short double-helical elements and three loops (D, anti-codon, and T loops). Further hydrogen bonds mediate the characteristic L-shaped molecular structure. tRNAs have two regions of fundamental functional importance: the anti-codon, which is responsible for specific mRNA codon recognition, and the 3' end, to which the tRNAs corresponding amino acid is attached (by aminoacyl-tRNA synthetases). tRNAs cope with the degeneracy of the genetic code in two manners: having more than one tRNA (with a specific anti-codon) for a particular amino acid; and 'wobble' base-pairing, i.e. permitting non-standard base-pairing at the 3rd anti-codon position.
Source: RNAcentral